AAAAAAUUUAACAAAAUAUCUAUUAUAGAAUGCGGAGUUAUAAACACGCCAAUAAUAAAUGCGAAAUUAGUGUAACACAUCUAUAAUAGGUUUCCAAGAAGAAGGCAUAAAUAAAUUAACCAUAGUCAAAUAAACUUCACAUAGAGAAACGUCAUAGACAAUAUUAAAAUUUACUGACCCCGUCAAAUCUGCUCACAAGGGCCUUAAAGGCAUUACAAAGUUGACAACAUUCGGAGAUAAACGCAGCUCAAAAAUUGAGAUGAACGACAAAAAGAUCCUAUUUAUCUUUACAAGAAAAACCUUUGUUGGGUUAUAAAUUUUAUAAUAUUGGCUAAGAAAAAUCUCUAUUUACAAUUGACAAAGCGAUACAAUUUCGAAAAGUAAUAUAAAGAUUGGUUGACAAAAGGCAAAAAUUUUUAGCGAAGAGUGUUUAUAUUAGAAUUUAAGUACUUGCAAUAAAGUGGUACGCAAGGCAAACCUGAAUGUAAAAGCUGAAUGAUUAAAACUCUAAAAAUAAGCAAUAGGACUUAUCACUGCAGUUUAGAAAUUAGCUAUAUUUUUUGAAUCAAGAUAAAUAAUUUUACUUAUGCUACAACCCUUAACAUAAAAACUUUUUAU
Long non-coding RNA from Gordionus sp. m RMFG-2023, 618 nucleotides. RefSeq lists it as uncharacterized. Lineage: Eukaryota; Metazoa; Nematomorpha; Gordioida; Chordodea; Parachordodidae. The record is from RefSeq and is a predicted model, not a curated record. The transcript has 5 exons.